Molecule: long non-coding RNA, 795 nt
Organism: Dama dama (fallow deer)
Lineage: Eukaryota; Metazoa; Chordata; Mammalia; Artiodactyla; Cervidae
Exons: 3
Source: RefSeq, a predicted model, not a curated record
AACCAACCCUGGUUAAGGGAAGGGAGUCCACAAGGGCGUGAGUUGCAGGGAUAGGAUCGCGGGAGGCCGUCUUGGAAGCCGCCACUCGCGGGGAGGAAAUCGCAUAGGGCUGCUGAAACAAGCAUCACAAACCACAUGGCUUGAAACAACAGAGAUAUCUCCCUCAUCUCACCAUUUUGGAGGCUGAAGUCCGAAAUCAAGCUCCCAACAUGUGUGGGGGACGUGGUGGACCCAAUCAACCAGAAUGCACACUGAGGCCCCUUCGGCUCAGAGUCUGAGGCUCUGGGUGUCCACUGUUCUAAGUUCAGACAUGAGUCAGCUUCGGGCAACUAAGGAGCCCAAGAGAGACUGAUGAGAAGGAGGUUCCAGAUCAUUAUUAAACAGAUAAGAAGCGUGUCCUUUGGAAACAUGAUUCGUGUACAUUCUUGGCAAAGCAGGGGCUGUUUUAUUUUGCUUGUCAAAGUCAUCCUUUUUGUCCUCAUUUUUAUUUAUUGAAUGAUUGCUGGUCAAAAGUUUUCUAAGCUGAAUUCCCAUCCUGUUACCCAUAAAAUUGCAUAAAGUGAGAUGCUAGAGUUAAAAAAAAAAAUAACUGUCACAUCACAACUGAUAUUAGAGAUUGGCGAGGCUGCCAGCUGGAGCAGACUAACAAGGAAAAUCAAGACUCCUCUCUCCAUCUUUGUCCUUCAGGCUAAAAAAGGCAAGAUAAGAAGAGAGAACGUUCUGUAAUGAGUAAGGGUGGCUGCGCCUCGUGAUGGGUCAGCCCUGUGUGUCUGGAGGAGGACUCUCUUUGAGGCC